GAUGAACGCUGGCGGCGUGCUUAACACAUGCAAGUCGAGCGAGUGAGUUCUUCGGAACGAUCUAGCGGCGGACGGGUGAGUAACACGUGGGCAACCUGCCUCAUAGAGGGGAAUAGCCUCCCGAAAGGGAGAUUAAUACCGCAUAAAAUUAUCGAGUGGCAUCACACGGUAAUCAAAGGAGUAAUCCGCUAUGAGAUGGGCCCGCGGCGCAUUAGCUAGUUGGUGAGGUAACGGCUCACCAAGGCGACGAUGCGUAGCCGACCUGAGAGGGUAAUCGGCCACAUUGGGACUGAGACACGGCCCAGACUCCUACGGGAGGCAGCAGUGGGGAAUAUUGCACAAUGGGGGAAACCCUGAUGCAGCAACGCCGCGUGAGUGAUGAAGGUCUUCGGAUUGUAAAGCUCUGUCUUGGGGGACGAUAAUGACGGUACCCAAGGAGGAAGCCACGGCUAACUACGUGCCAGCAGCCGCUGUAA
RNAcentral lists this ribosomal RNA (476 nucleotides) under uncultured bacterium. RNAcentral's name for it is "partial 16S ribosomal RNA". It matches the Rfam family "Bacterial small subunit ribosomal RNA", at positions 28 to 523 of the family's 1533-position model. The record is from RNAcentral.